ACCCCGUUGCCAGGGCAGUCUGAUUAGAAAAAUACAACUAAUCAUAAGGGUUGCGCUCGUUAAUGGACUUAACCAAACAUCUCACGACACGAGCCGACGACGGCCAUGCAGCACCUGUCACCUUGUUCAAUAAAGCACUCUCGCCUUUCGGCAAAAUUCAAGGGAUGUCAAGCCCUGGUAAGGUUCUUCGUUUAUCAUCGAAUUAAAGAACACGCUCCACCGCUUGUGCGGGUCCCCGUCAAUUCCUUUAUGUUUUAGUCUUGCGACCGUACUCCACAGGCGGGAUACUUAACGCGUUAGCUUCGCUACUGAAGGGGUCGAUACCUCCAACAGCUAGUAUCCAUCGUUUACGGCGUGGACUAC
RNAcentral lists this unclassified non-coding RNA (363 nucleotides) under uncultured bacterium. RNAcentral's name for it is "contains 16S-23S intergenic spacer region". The record is from RNAcentral.